UACGUAGGAGGCAAGCGUUGUCCGGAAUUAUUGGGCGUAAAGAGCGCGUAGGCGGUCCGGUAAGUCGGUUGUGAAAGUCGGGGGCUCAACCCUCGGAUGCCGAUCGAUACUGUCGGGCUAGAGUCCGGAAGAGGCGAGUGGAAUUCCUGGUGUAGCGGUGAAAUGCGCAGAUAUCAGGAGGAACACCAAUGGCGAAGGCAGCUCGCUGGGACGGUACUGACGCUGAGGCGCGAAAGCGUGGGGAGCAAACAGG
Molecule: ribosomal RNA, 253 nt
Filed under: uncultured bacterium
Lineage: Bacteria
Description: partial 16S ribosomal RNA
Rfam family: Bacterial small subunit ribosomal RNA
Source: RNAcentral